AAUAGGUCACUAGGGUUCCGGUCUGGCAACAGGCGCUGGUCCGAGAGUGGCCGACCGCCCUCUGGCGGUUACACGGCGGGAUAAAAGCCCGGGAGG
Molecule: small RNA, 96 nt
Filed under: Gibbsiella quercinecans
Lineage: Bacteria; Pseudomonadati; Pseudomonadota; Gammaproteobacteria; Enterobacterales; Yersiniaceae
Description: Guanidine-I riboswitch
Rfam family: Guanidine-I riboswitch aptamer
About the family: This family represents a conserved RNA structure found upstream of the ykkC and yxkD genes in Bacillus subtilis and related genes in other bacteria.
Source: RNAcentral